UUUUUUUUUUCAGGGGAGGGCUGAGGGAGGAGAUGGCCACUGGGAGCGACCGCUUAGCGGCGGCGGUAGGGGGCGGUCGGCGGUGAGGAGCUGCGUAGGCGAGGGGCGCUGCGGCUAGGGACUGAGGGACGGCUGGGCGCGCACGAGGGGACGGGAGGAGACGCGGCGGGUGGAGCGGCGUGAGGGCCGCGGUAGUGGGGAGCGGAGGGAGGCGUGGGGGCAACGCGGACCGGCAGCAGCACGACUGGACGGCGAGGACUGAGGCCGCGGCCUCCGGCUGACGGGCUAGAGGAGCUGGACGUCGACGAUUGGGCCAAAAGAGCGCUACCCCGAAAAGCCACCAUCGAAGUUCAAAAACCACCCUCACCCUACACCACAGAUACAUCGAGUCUUGAUGUUGCAAGGUUUACAGUUCUUCGACAAGUUGUGCAUACAAAAGGACCGUUUCGUGUAACUCCUUUGUAUGGCAUUCGGCUUCUUUCUGCUGUUUCUGCUCACUAAUAGCGUGGGGACCGCUUCUCUUCACAUGAGACUGUACUGUCUUUGCACUAGAAGUUCUUGAAUAAUAUUGAUACUGCUACGUAUCACCCAUCGACACUUUAAAUAGCACCGUUCCAAACACCUAGAGAUACUGCUUUGGAAUCAUAAAAACUUCAUCCUCUCUUCCAUACGUUUAUAGGC
Molecule: ribosomal RNA, 681 nt
Filed under: Triticum aestivum (bread wheat)
Lineage: Eukaryota; Viridiplantae; Streptophyta; Magnoliopsida; Poales; Poaceae
Description: partial small subunit ribosomal RNA
Source: RNAcentral